Molecule: long non-coding RNA, 150 nt
Organism: Polistes dominula (European paper wasp)
Lineage: Eukaryota; Metazoa; Arthropoda; Insecta; Hymenoptera; Vespidae
Gene: Ufl1
Source: RefSeq, a predicted model, not a curated record
UAUAAAGACGCAAAAAUCAGAAGUAUAAUAAUAUCCAUUUAUGAAAGUUGCUAAGAUUCUAGUAAAUCCAACACAAGCAGCAACGACUGUUUGGCCAAUCCCCCAUACUAAUGCAUAUAAUGGUGGCAUCUGAUGACUUGAUGCACGAUA